RNAcentral lists this ribosomal RNA (468 nucleotides) under uncultured bacterium. RNAcentral's name for it is "partial 16S ribosomal RNA". It matches the Rfam family "Bacterial small subunit ribosomal RNA", at positions 28 to 507 of the family's 1533-position model. The record is from RNAcentral.
GACGAACGCUGGCGGCGUGCUUAACACAUGCAAGUCGAACGGAAAGGCCCUGCUUUUGUUGGGUGCUCGAGUGGCGAACGGGUGAGUAACACGUGAGUAACCUGCCCUUUACUUUGGGAUAACUUCAGGAAACUGGGUCUAAUACCGUAUAGGAGCUCCUGCUGCAUGGUGGGGGUUGGAAAGUUUCGGCGGUUGGGGAUGGACUCGCGGGUUAUCAGCUUGUUGUUGGGGUAGUGGCUUACCAAGGCUUUGACGGGUAGCCGGCCUGAGAGGGUGACCGGCGACAUUGGGACUGAGAUACGGCCCAGACACGUACGGGAGGCAGCAGUGGGGAAUAUUGCAGAAUGGGCGGAAGCAUGAUGCAGCAACGCCGCGUGCGGGAUGACGGCCUUCGGGUUGUAAACCGCUUUAGCCUGUGACGAAGCGUGAGUGACGGUAAUGGGUAAAGAAGCACCGGCUAACUACGUG